RNAcentral lists this ribosomal RNA (253 nucleotides) under uncultured bacterium. RNAcentral describes it as "partial 16S ribosomal RNA". It matches the Rfam family "Bacterial small subunit ribosomal RNA", at positions 524 to 776 of the family's 1533-position model. The record is from RNAcentral.
UACGUAGGGGGCUAGCGUUGUCCGGAAUCAUUGGGCGUAAAGAGCGUGUAGGCGGUCCGGUAAGUCCGCUGUGAAAGUCGGGGGCUCAACCCUCGAAUGCCGGUGGAUACUGUCGGGCUAGAGUGCGGAAGAGGCGAGUGGAAUUCCUGGUGUAGCGGUGAAAUGCGCAGAUAUCAGGAGGAACACCAAUGGCGAAGGCAGCACUCUGGGACGGUAUUGACGCUGAGACGCGAAAGCGUGGGGAGCAAACAGG